RNAcentral lists this transfer RNA (89 nucleotides) under Aneurinibacillus soli. Its description in RNAcentral is "tRNA-Ser". It matches the Rfam family "tRNA". Rfam says of the family: Transfer RNA (tRNA) molecules are approximately 80 nucleotides in length. Their secondary structure includes four short double-helical elements and three loops (D, anti-codon, and T loops). Lineage: Bacteria; Bacillati; Bacillota; Bacilli; Caryophanales; Paenibacillaceae. RNAcentral also lists the same sequence under 2 other names. The record is from RNAcentral.
GGAGGGAUACCGAAGUGGUCAUAACGGGGCGGUCUUGAAAACCGUUAGGGUGCAAGCCCACGCGGGUUCGAAUCCUGCUCCCUCCGCCA